AUCGAACGCUGGCGGCAGGCCUAACACAUGCAAGUCGAGCGAAAGCUGCGGGUCUAUUCUCGCACGGGUGGGUAAAGGGUGGGAACCUGCCCUUAGGUUUGGCAUAUGUUGGCGGAAGGGGUCCUAAUACCGGAUAAUAUCCUCGAACCAAAGUUUUGUCGCCUUUGGAUGUGCCCGGGUUGUAUUAGCUAGUUGUUAGACUAAAACACUACCAAGGCUAGGAUCGAUAGCUGGUCUGCGAGGAUGAUCAGCCACACUGGUGCUGAGACACGGCCCAGAGUCCUACGGGAGGCAGCAGAGGGGAAUAUUGGACAAUGGGGCGAAGGCUGAUCAAGCAAUGCAGGGUGAGUGAUGAAGGACCUAGGGUAGUAAAGUUCUUUUACCCCGGAUGAUAAUGACAGUACCGGGAGAAUAAGCACCGGCUAACUCCGUG
RNAcentral lists this ribosomal RNA (433 nucleotides) under uncultured bacterium. RNAcentral describes it as "partial 16S ribosomal RNA". It matches the Rfam family "Bacterial small subunit ribosomal RNA", at positions 30 to 507 of the family's 1533-position model. The record is from RNAcentral.